This 84-nucleotide microRNA precursor is filed under the name Bombyx mori (domestic silkworm). Its description in RNAcentral is "mir-2807 microRNA precursor family". It matches the Rfam family "mir-2807 microRNA precursor family". Lineage: Eukaryota; Metazoa; Arthropoda; Insecta; Lepidoptera; Bombycidae. The record is from Rfam by way of RNAcentral.
UUAGCUCAUAUUUGUAUGGAAUGGAAUCGUUUGCGUGCGUUUGCCGCUAGGGGCGCUGUUCCAACUGCAUACAAAAUUGAGUUA